RNAcentral lists this ribosomal RNA (271 nucleotides) under uncultured bacterium. Its description in RNAcentral is "partial 16S ribosomal RNA". It matches the Rfam family "Bacterial small subunit ribosomal RNA", at positions 524 to 794 of the family's 1533-position model. The record is from RNAcentral.
UACGGAAGGUGCAAGCGUUAAUCGGAAUUACUGGGCGUAAAGCGCGCGUAGGCGGCUUGGUAAGUCGGGUGUGAAAGCCCCGGGCUCAACCUGGGAACUGCAUUCGAUACUGCCGGGCUGGAGUACGAGAGAGGGGGGUGGAAUUCCAGGUGUAGCGGUGAAAUGCGUAGAGAUCUGGAGGAACACCAGUGGCGAAGGCGGCCCCCUGGUUCGAUACUGACGCUGAGGUGCGAAAGCGUGGGGAGCAAACAGGAUUAGAAACCCUAGUAGU